GACGAACGCUGGCGGCGUGCUUAACACAUGCAAGUCGUACGGUAAGGCCCUUUCGGGGGUCCACGAGUGGCGAACGGGUGCGUAACACGUGAGUAACCUGCCCACAACUUUGGGAUAACGCUAGGAAACUGGUGCUAAUACUGGAUAUGUGCUCCUGCUGCAUGGUGGGGGUUGGAAAGCUCCGGCGGUUGUGGAUGGACUCGCGGCCUAUCAGCUUGUUGGUGGGGUAGUGGCCUACCAAGGCGGCGACGGGUAGCCGGCCUGAGAGGGUGACCGGCCACAUUGGGACUGAGAGACGGCCCAGACUCCUACGGGAGGCAGCAGUGGGGAAUAUUGCACAAUGGGCGCAAGCCUGAUGCAGCAACGCCGCGUGCGGGAUGACGGCCUUCGGGUUGUAAACCGCUUUCAGCAGGGACGAAGCUUUUUGUGACGGUACCUGCAGAAGAAGCACCGGCUAACUACGUG
This 465-nucleotide ribosomal RNA is filed under the name uncultured bacterium. RNAcentral describes it as "partial 16S ribosomal RNA". It matches the Rfam family "Bacterial small subunit ribosomal RNA", at positions 28 to 507 of the family's 1533-position model. The record is from RNAcentral.